AUUGAACGCUGGCGGCACGCCUAACACAUGCAAGUCGAGCGGUAGCAUGUUUUGUAGCAAUACAAAAUGAUGACGAGCGGCGGACGGGUGAGGAACACGUAGGAACCUGCCCUUUAGCGGGGACAACCAAGGGAAACUUUGGCUAAUACCGCGUAAUCUCGAGAGAGGAAAGCUGCCCGCAAGGGUGGCGCGUAAAGGAGGGGCCUGCGUCCGAUUAGCGUAGGUUGGGGAGGUAAAGGCUCACCAAGGCGAUGAUCGGUAACUGGUCUGAGAGGACGACCAGUCACACUGGGACUGAGACACGGCCCAGACUCCUACGGGAGGCAGCAGUGGGGAAUAUUGGACAAUGGGGCAACCCUGAUCCAGCGAUGCCGCGUGGGUGAAGAAGGCC
Molecule: ribosomal RNA, 391 nt
Filed under: uncultured bacterium
Lineage: Bacteria
Description: bacterial SSU rRNA
Rfam family: Bacterial small subunit ribosomal RNA
Source: RNAcentral